This 332-nucleotide ribosomal RNA is filed under the name uncultured bacterium. RNAcentral's name for it is "bacterial SSU rRNA". It matches the Rfam family "Bacterial small subunit ribosomal RNA", at positions 568 to 898 of the family's 1533-position model. The record is from RNAcentral.
UUCGUAGGCGGUCAUGUAAGUCAGGGGUGAAAUCUAGCGGCUUAACCGUUAAACUGCCCUUGAAACUGCCUGACUUGAGGACAUGAGAGGAAAGCGGAAUUCUCGGUGUAGCGGUGAAAUGCGUGGAUAUCGAGAGGAACACCAGUGGCGUAGGCGGCUUUCUGGCAUGUUUCUGACGCUGAGGAACGAAAGCCAGGGGAGCGAACGGGAUUAGAUACCCCGGUAGUCCUGGCCGUAAACUAUGGGCACUAGGUGUGGGAGGUAUCGACCCCUUCCGUGCCGCAGCUAACGCAUUAAGUGCCCCGCCUGGGGAGUACGGCCGCAAGGUUGAA